This 442-nucleotide ribosomal RNA is filed under the name uncultured bacterium. Its description in RNAcentral is "partial 16S ribosomal RNA". It matches the Rfam family "Bacterial small subunit ribosomal RNA", at positions 338 to 795 of the family's 1533-position model. The record is from RNAcentral.
CCUACGGGUGGCAGCAGUAGGGAAUCUUUCACAAUGGGCGAAAGCCUGAUGGAGCAACGCCGCGUGCAGGAUGAAGGUCUUCGGGUUGUAAACUGCUUUUAUAAGCGAGAAAUAUGAUGGUAACUUAUGAAUAAGGAUCGGCUAACUACGUGCCAGCAGCCGCGGUCAUACGUAGGAUCCGAGCAUUAUCCGGAGUGACUGGGUGUAAAGAGUUGCGUAGGUGGCAUCAUAAGUAGCUAGUGAAAUCUGGUGGCUCAACCAUUCAGACUAUUAGCUAAACUGUUAAGCUCGAGACCGUUAGGGGUAACUGGAAUUUCUAGUGUAGGAGUGAAAUCCGUAGAUAUUAGAAGGAACACCAAUAGCGUAGGCAGGUUGCUGGGACGGUUCUGACACUAAGGCACGAAAGCGUAGGGAGCAAACGGGAUUAGAUACCCGAGUAGUC